UCAGCUUAGAUAGCCACAAUUUGAAAACACAAGAAGAAAAAGAACUUCCACAGAAAAAUCUCCCUCCUUAAAUACCUCUCUCUGGAUUUCUAUUGGAGUUACGAGAAAGCUUGAGGGAAGAUACAAGGGCUUCCCGGAUGGCUCAGCAGAGAUGGAUGACAUCACAAUAGAGCAUUAUCCACGUGGAGGGGCACC
This is a long non-coding RNA of Capra hircus (goat), 195 nucleotides long. RefSeq lists it as uncharacterized. Lineage: Eukaryota; Metazoa; Chordata; Mammalia; Artiodactyla; Bovidae. The record is from RefSeq and is a predicted model, not a curated record. The transcript has 3 exons.